CGCGUGGGGUGGGUGGGAGCGCGGUCUGACGCCUCACGGAGCCGGCGCACGCCACGCCGCGCCCCGCCCCCUCUCACGCAGGCUCCGCGCGGCCUCGCGCCCGCGGCGAGCGCGCGCGCGCACCCGGCAGAGACUCAACCUCGACUGCGGGGCCGGGCGGCGGAGGCCGGGCCGCUGGAGAGCCGUGGGAGGAGCCCGAGCCGCCACAGCCGCAGUCGCGGCCGUGGCGGUGGGGGAGCAUGUCCGCGAGUCGGGCCAAGAAAGUGAAGAUGGCCACCAAAUCGUGCCCGGAGUGCGACCAACAGGUUCCUGUUGCAUGUAAAUCAUGUCGUUGUGGUUAUUUAUUUAUUAAUAGAAAGUAUCUACAAAUAAAACAUUCAGAGAAAUCAUCACCUUUUGCAGAAGCGAACAAUACUGUAUCUUUGAAAGACUUGCGAAUUCUUUUUUUAUACGAAUUUAAACUAGGACAUAGUGCAGCCACAGCAAGUAGAAACAUCGUGUCUGUCUUCGGAGAAGGCUCUGUUAGUGAAAGGACUAUCCGGUGGUGGUUUGGGAAGUUUCGUUCUGGGGAUCUGAGUCUGAAAAAUGAGCCUCGAGGGAGACCCAAGUCUGUUUUAAAUGAAGAUCAGUUGAGAGCCAGAGUGGAAGCCAACCCCAAGACAGCAAUUCGAGGCCUUGCAGCAGACUUAGGAGUUUCUGCUACAACUAUUUCUCGACACCUGGCUGCAAUAGGAAAGGUAAAACAAUUGGACAAGUGGGUAACGCCAGUUGAUGGAUGAUCAUAAACUGCUCGGUUGGAGAUAACGCCCGUCCCUUAAGAUUUAAAAGAGCGGAGACCUUAUGAGAGCAUCGUAAGCUGUGACAAAAAAAUGAAAUGGAAGGUGACCUGGACAAUGGUUGGAUGCUGAUGAAGUUCCCAAACGUGUUAAACUAUGAUUCGACCAAAAGAGGGCCUGGUGAUAACUGUCUCUCGGUGGUGGCGUGCAGAAACAGUGUUUCAUCGCUGCUUUUCACCCGAACUGCCUCUGCUGGUGGUCAGCUAACAGGAGUGUUGAGGAGGAGUUGAAAUCAUGUAUCCAGAUCACUCUGAAGUCACUGCACCGGGUGGGACGAGGCGGUCGAGGUCGGCAGGUGUGGCCCUGCGCUUCCCCGUGACAGUGUUCGAGCACAGACGUCGCAGCCCACCACGGGGAGGUUGGCCGGGCUGGGCAGAGAGUCUGCACGUGCCUCGUUCUCACCUGGCCUCUUCAAUGGAUGAUCACCCUUUUCGUAAUUUGUGACUAAGAAACAACAUUCUCCAGUUGAGCAGCAGUAAUUGAAGGAUUUAAAUAUAUUUUAACAGUACUGAAUUUUAUAAAUAUGGUAUAUUAGUAAUAUUUGGGCAAAUUUAUCAUUUGGGGGAAGCAGUUAAUACUAAUAGUGCAUAUUUUAGCUGAGUAAAGCUGCUUUUCUCAAGAAUGUAACAUUUACAUUUUGACCUACAAAAAGGCAAUUCCAUAUGGCUUAACCUGGUAAUUCCCCAGACCCUGGCAGAACAUGGAGCUAAAAACUGCAGGCUGCACUGGAGGGAUGGGGCUUCUCCACUGGAGCGCUGUGGAGCAGCCCGACAACACACGUGACGCAUGCGUGUACGUGUGUGUAAAAGACUGCCUAGGAGUCGGCCAUGCAGAGACCCGGUGAAGGGUGGUCUGGGAGGGGAGCGGCCUCCCCAAAGACUCUCGGGCUCUCGGGACACACUCUUGAAUACGUUUGGAAACCACUCCUUUUCCCAGAGAGAAAGAGAAGCUGUAAAAGCCUCCUUGACAGAAACCUUGGUUUGAGCAUCGAAGUGAAGAGUGGGGAUGGAGGCUGCUACAUCUCACCCCCCAAAACCCCACCCCCGUCUCCCUGGGGUGGCCUGGGUCCUGGGUAUAGAGGGGACUGGAGCGCGGGCGCAUGUGCAAUACACAGAUCAUGUAUCGUAGAAAUCUGCGCUGGAAACUUGUGUAACCUUGUGAGCCAAUAUUGCCCCAGUAAACUUAAUUAGACAUUUUUGAAA
Molecule: long non-coding RNA, 2038 nt
Organism: Phyllostomus hastatus (greater spear-nosed bat)
Lineage: Eukaryota; Metazoa; Chordata; Mammalia; Chiroptera; Phyllostomidae
Exons: 3
Source: RefSeq, a predicted model, not a curated record